RNAcentral lists this ribosomal RNA (253 nucleotides) under uncultured bacterium. RNAcentral describes it as "partial 16S ribosomal RNA". It matches the Rfam family "Bacterial small subunit ribosomal RNA", at positions 524 to 776 of the family's 1533-position model. The record is from RNAcentral.
UACAGAGGUGGCAAGCGUUGUUCGGAAUUACUGGGCGUAAAGGGCGCGUAGGCGGUCCGAUAAGUCCCGUGUGAAAUCCCUCGGCUCAACUGAGGAAUGGCACGGGAAACUGCCGGGCUUGAGUUCGGGAGAGGGAAGCGGAAUUCCGGGUGUAGCGGUGAAAUGCGCAGAUAUCAGGAGGAACACCGAUGGCGAAGGCAGGUCUCUGGGCCACUACUGACGCUGAGAAGCGAAAGCAUGGGGAGCGAACAGG